Long non-coding RNA from Bos taurus (domestic cattle), 639 nucleotides. Lineage: Eukaryota; Metazoa; Chordata; Mammalia; Artiodactyla; Bovidae. The record is from Ensembl.
GCACAACCCUCCAACCUUGCCAAGGCCACGGACUUGGAAAAUUCACGCUGGCUUCCAGUGCCCCACUGCAGGCUAGGACCUCUAAUGUGAUGCUGAAGAACAAAUACCCCUGCCUUGUUCCUGAUGUUAGAGGAAAAGUGAUCAGCCUUUCACCACCAAGUACAGAGGUUCCAGAUCGAAAGCCUGUGGACACGCUGUCCUUCCAGUCUGUGUUGCCACUGGCCAGGAGGCGGCUCCUUCCUGAAGCUCCAAGCACAGGGCCGGCCUUACAGCAACCACCCGUGAACGUCACCUUUGUUCACCAAAGCAUCACAGCGUCAACUCCAGCCUGCGUGUCAUGUCCUGACCACCCUCAGCUGCAGUCUGUGGUCUACUUACCAGUUUUGGGCAAUCAUCUGUAAGCCAAGUACUUUCUCUCUCCCUGCUAAUGCAGGUCACUUGUAGAGGAAAAAACAACUAACUUUAGGUGGUUUUACAGCUUGAGGCAAGCAAGAUGAAUCUCUUGUUUCGUUGCAUGCUCAACUAAUAGGCACGCCUCUGAGUUUUUUUUUUUUUAAUCUUUGGCCGAGCUGCUUGGCAUGUGGGAUCUGAGUUCCUGACCAGGGAUUGAACCCUGUGAUGAAGUGGGGAGUCUUAACC